This is an RNA transcript of Rhagoletis zephyria (snowberry fruit fly), 1891 nucleotides long. It is a transcript of the gene named elongator complex protein 3, with no coding region annotated. The record is from RefSeq and is a predicted model, not a curated record. Lineage: Eukaryota; Metazoa; Arthropoda; Insecta; Diptera; Tephritidae.
UUACCUGUUUAUUGUUAAAAACACGUCAAUUUAAGAUUAAAAUUUAGAUAUGAAGCCAAAAAAGAAGUUGGGAGUUGGCUUAAGCCGCGAGGAACGGAGUUUGAUUGUCAUUGGUGAAAUUAUACAGGAGCUUCUGAAAGCACACGAGGACAAGAAAGAUGUUAAUCUAAAUCGUCUUAAAGCACGGAUAUCGUCAAAGUAUGGAUUGGAGAGUUCACCACGUUUGGUAGACAUCAUUGCGGCUGUUCCCCAAGAUGCUAAAAAGAUAUUGCUGCCUAAACUGCGUGCUAAGCCCAUACGCACUGCUAGUGGCAUCGCCGUAGUCGCAGUCAUGUGCAAGCNUUGUCCACACAUCAACAUGACCGGAAACAUAUGCGUGUACUGUCCUGGUGGGCCGGACAGUGAUUUCGAGUACUCCACGCAAUCAUAUACAGGUUAUGAACCGACAUCUAUGCGCGCUAUACGUGCGCGUUACAAUCCCUAUCUGCAAACCCGACACCGCGUUGAACAGCUCAAACAAUUGGGACAUUCGGUGGAUAAAGUGGAAUUCAUCGUGAUGGGUGGCACAUUUAUGAGUUUGGAUGAGAAGUAUCGAAACGACUUUAUCAUGAAGCUGCAUGAUGCACUAAGUGGGCAUACAAGCCGUGACAUCAAGGAAGCUAUACGUUAUUCGGAAAUUUCACAUACCAAAUGCAUUGGAAUCACCAUUGAAACACGUCCGGAUUAUUGUCUCAAGCGGCAUAUCACAGAUAUGUUGAAUUACGGUUGUACGCGUUUGGAAAUCGGCGUACAAUCGGUGUAUGAAGAUGUUGCACGCGAUACUAAUCGCGGCCAUACUGUGAAGGCAGUGUGUGAAAGCUUUCAAUUGGGCAAGGAUUCGGGUUACAAAAUUGUGGCGCAUAUGAUGCCCGACUUGCCGAAUGUGGAUUUCGAACGUGAUUUGGAACAGUUUAUUGAAUACUUUGAAAAUCCAGCUUUCCGCUCGGAUGGCUUGAAAAUCUAUCCAACGCUUGUUAUACGCGGAACUGGCCUCUAUGAACUAUGGAAAACUGGACGCUACAAGUCUUAUCCACCAUCGAUGCUGGUCGAUCUGGUGGCAAAAAUAUUGGCACUCGUGCCACCAUGGACGCGUGUCUAUCGUGUGCAGCGCGAUAUACCAAUGCCGCUAGUGAGCUCUGGCGUGGAACACGGCAAUCUACGCGAGCUUGCCUUAGCUCGUAUGAAAGAUUGGGGUACGGAUUGUCGUGAUGUGCGUACACGGGAAGUUGGCAUUCAAGAAAUACACAAUAAAGUGCGCCCUUAUGAAAUCGAACUCAUACGACGCGACUACUUUGCCAACGGUGGUUGGGAGACGUUCCUCUCCUACGAAGAUCCAGAGCAGGAUAUACUGGUGGGACUGUUGCGUUUGCGUAAAUGCUCGCCAGAUACGUUCCAAAGCGAGCUGACUGAGGUUGGACAAUGUUCGAUUGUACGCGAAUUGCAUGUUUAUGGAUCGGUAGUGCCGGUCAAUGCAAGAGAUCCAACCAAGUUUCAGCAUCAGGGUUUCGGAAUGUUGCUAAUGGAAGAGGCAGCUCGUAUUGCACGCGAGGAGCAUGGCAGCGUAAAAUUGGCAGUUAUUUCUGGAGUGGGCACACGUGCCUACUACCGUAAACUAGGCUACGAAUUAGAUGGCCCAUACAUGUCUAAAAUGCUUAUAGACGUUAAAUAAAUCCAAACAGGUUUUUAAAAAGAAAUUCGUUGCGCCGAGGAAAGCUCCAUAUGUUGCAAUUCAUAAAAAAUAACACAACUUGUAAUAAAGUAUAUCGAACAUUUAAAUAUUAUAGUUACAAGAAAUCACAUACAUAAUUAUAGCCUUCUAUCCAGUCAAAAGAAAUAUGUACCAGACCUAUAU